Molecule: small nuclear RNA, 104 nt
Filed under: Carlito syrichta (Philippine tarsier)
Lineage: Eukaryota; Metazoa; Chordata; Mammalia; Primates; Tarsiidae
Source: RNAcentral
GUUCUCUCUUCUGCAUAUGUUCCAAAAUUGGAACAAAGUAGAGAAGAGUAGCCUGGCCCCUGCGCAAGUGUGACAUGUGAACUCAUGAAACAGUCCAUAUUUUG